This 640-nucleotide ribosomal RNA is filed under the name Acinetobacter pittii. RNAcentral's name for it is "bacterial SSU rRNA". It matches the Rfam family "Bacterial small subunit ribosomal RNA", at positions 846 to 1486 of the family's 1533-position model. The record is from RNAcentral. Lineage: Bacteria; Pseudomonadati; Pseudomonadota; Gammaproteobacteria; Moraxellales; Moraxellaceae.
CCGGAGCUAACGCGUUAAGUCGACCGCCUGGGGAGUACGGCCGCAAGGUUAAAACUCAAAUGAAUUGACGGGGGCCCGCACAAGCGGUGGAGCAUGUGGUUUAAUUCGAUGCAACGCGAAGAACCUUACCUGGUCUUGACAUCCACGGAAGUUUUCAGAGAUGAGAAUGUGCCUUCGGGAACCGUGAGACAGGUGCUGCAUGGCUGUCGUCAGCUCGUGUUGUGAAAUGUUGGGUUAAGUCCCGCAACGAGCGCAACCCUUAUCCUUUGUUGCCAGCGGUCCGGCCGGGAACUCAAAGGAGACUGCCAGUGAUAAACUGGAGGAAGGUGGGGAUGACGUCAAGUCAUCAUGGCCCUUACGACCAGGGCUACACACGUGCUACAAUGGCGCAUACAAAGAGAAGCGACCUCGCGAGAGCAAGCGGACCUCAUAAAGUGCGUCGUAGUCCGGAUUGGAGUCUGCAACUCGACUCCAUGAAGUCGGAAUCGCUAGUAAUCGUGGAUCAGAAUGCCACGGUGAAUACGUUCCCGGGCCUUGUACACACCGCCCGUCACACCAUGGGAGUGGGUUGCAAAAGAAGUAGGUAGCUUAACCUUCGGGAGGGCGCUUACCACUUUGUGAUUCAUGACUGGGGUGAAGU